This 792-nucleotide ribosomal RNA is filed under the name Gordonia amicalis. RNAcentral's name for it is "bacterial SSU rRNA". It matches the Rfam family "Bacterial small subunit ribosomal RNA", at positions 75 to 873 of the family's 1533-position model. Lineage: Bacteria; Bacillati; Actinomycetota; Actinomycetes; Mycobacteriales; Gordoniaceae. The record is from RNAcentral.
CCCGCUUGCGGGUACUCGAGUGGCGAACGGGUGAGUAACACGUGGGUGAUCUGCCCUGGACUCUGGGAUAAGCCUGGGAAACUGGGUCUAAUACCGGAUAUGACCUUACAUCGCAUGGUGUUUGGUGGAAAGCUUUUGCGGUUCAGGAUGGGCCCGCGGCCUAUCAGCUUGUUGGUGGGGUAAUGGCCUACCAAGGCGACGACGGGUAGCCGACCUGAGAGGGUGAUCGGCCACACUGGGGACUGAGACACGGCCCAGACUCCUACGGGAGGCAGCAGUGGGGAAUAUUGCACAAUGGGCGCAAGCCUGAUGCAGCGACGCCGCGUGAGGGAUGACGGCCUUCGGGUUGUAAACCUCUUUCACCAGGGACGAAGCGCAAGUGACGGUACCUGGAGAAGAAGCACCGGCCAACUACGUGCCAGCAGCCGCGGUAAUACGUAGGGUGCGAGCGUUGUCCGGAAUUACUGGGCGUAAAGAGCUCGUAGGCGGUUUGUCGCGUCGUCUGUGAAAUUCUGCAACUCAAUUGUAGGCGUGCAGGCGAUACGGGCAGACUUGAGUACUACAGGGGAGACUGGAAUUCCUGGUGUAGCGGUGAAAUGCGCAGAUAUCAGGAGGAACACCGGUGGCGAAGGCGGGUCUCUGGGUAGUAACUGACGCUGAGGAGCGAAAGCGUGGGUAGCGAACAGGAUUAGAUACCCUGGUAGUCCACGCCGUAAACGGUGGGAAACUAGGUGUGGGGCUCAUUUCACGAGUUCCGUGCCGUAGCUAACGCAUUAAGUACCCCCCCSGCCU